This is a non-coding RNA of Rattus norvegicus (Norway rat), 951 nucleotides long. NCBI's taxonomy places the organism in Eukaryota, Metazoa, Chordata, Mammalia, Rodentia, Muridae. The record is from RefSeq and is a predicted model, not a curated record.
CGCCAGGCUCCGGGGCGCGCGUGGACGUGGGUCCUCCCGGGCCUCUAGGCGCGCUUCCAACGCCGCUCCCCCACGCCUGCAUUCCGUCGCCGGCGGCGCGGCGGUCGGUGGGUCCGUCGUCUCAGGAGCUCGGGAGGAGACGAAGAAUCUCCUUUGCCCCAUGUUUCCACUGAUAUGAUGUUCUGCCCAAACACAUGAAACGAAGCAACCAGGAUGGAAUGCUCUGGAACUGUUAACCAAGAUAAUUUUACCCCUCCCACAGCCUUUCCUCAUAUAUUCUGAAAUUGCACAUUUAUUCAGAUGCUCCUGGCAUGUGAGCCUUGCCCCUUGCCUCUCCAGGCCUCCUCCUCUUCUGAGAGCUUUUUGUUUUUGUUUUGUACUUAGGGUAGCCUUCCAGACCAGCAAUCUGGUACACACGUCACAAGGGGUCUCAGUCUUCAUCGACUGAGACUAAGCAAUAUGGUGUACACAUCAACUGUCGGCUGUGGGAACUAUUUACUUGGUGAAUUCCAAUUUAGCCAUCCUAGGACCUGGAAAUGUCUCCAGCACGGACCUGGAUGGCUCCUUCAAACUGCCAGUGGAUCACACCGUGCAAUUCCCCAGCAGGAGAAGGCCUUCUCUUCUCACAGCUAGUAACGGGGCGAAAGCCCCCAUUUCCUCUUCUGUCGAAUGUUGAGAUGGAUCCUAGGGGCUUUCAGAGAUACCCUUCUUCAGUGCACUUUGUUUCUCUGGUCAACUUCCUACCUGCUGAGACUUCCAGCCUCCCUUACCUGGCUGCAGCUUCUGCACCCCCCCCCCCCAGCCCUGCUGUUGCUUUGUUUCUCACACAGACUCACACUUGCCUAGGUCUCAAACUGACACAUUUUUACCCACUUCUGCUCAUAUCCAACUAGAACACCUUUGACAAAAUGGCUUUGUUGAUAUAGAGGACAUACAUGAUACAAUGUAUCU